CUGCGAAUGGCUCAUUAAAUCAGUUAUCGUUUAUUUGAUAGUACCUUACUACUUGGAUAACCGUGGUAAUUCUAGAGCUAAUACAUGCUAAAAACCCCAACUUCGGGAGGGGUGUAUUUAUUAGAUAAAAAACCAAUGCCCUUCGGGGCUCCUUGGUGAUUCAUGAUAACUUCUCAGAUCGCAUGGCUUUACGCCGGCGACGGUUCAUUCAAAUUUCUGCCCUAUCAACUUUCGAUGGUAAGGUAGUGGCUUACCAUGGUUUCAACGGGUAACGGGGAAUUAGGGUUCGAUUCCGGAGAGGGAGCCUGAGAAACGGCUACCACAUCCAAGGAAGGCAGCAGGCGCGCAAAUUACCCAAUUCCGAUACGGAGAGGUAGUGACAAUAAAUACUGAUACAGGGCUCUUUUGGGUCUUGUAAUUGGAAUGAGUACAAUUUAAACCUCUUAACGAGGAACAAUUGGAGGGCAAGUCUGGUGCCAGCAGCCGCGGUAAUUCCAGCUCCAAUAGCGUAUAUUAAAGUUGUUGCAGUUAAAAAGCUCGUAGUUGAACCUUUGGCCUGGCUGGCAGGUCCGCCUCACCGCGUGCACUUGUCCGGCCGGGCCUUUUCUUCUGGAGAACCGCAUGCCCUUCACUGGGUGUGUUGGGGACCAGGACUUUUACUUUGAAAAAAUUAGAGUGUUCAAAGCAGGCCUUUGCUCGAAUACGUUAGCAUGGAAUAAUAGAAUAGGACGUGCGGUCCUAUUUUGUUGGUUUCUAGGACCGCCGUAAUGAUUAAUAGGGACAGUCGGGGGCAUCAGUAUUCAAUUGUCAGAGGUGAAAUUCUUGGAUUUAUUGAAAGACUAACUACUGCGAAAGCAUUUGCCAAGGAUGUU
RNAcentral lists this ribosomal RNA (872 nucleotides) under Pleopunctum ellipsoideum. RNAcentral describes it as "SSU rRNA". It matches the Rfam family "Eukaryotic small subunit ribosomal RNA", at positions 87 to 968 of the family's 1831-position model. The record is from RNAcentral. Lineage: Eukaryota; Fungi; Ascomycota; Dothideomycetes; Pleosporales; Phaeoseptaceae.